GACGAACGCUGGCGGCGUGCCUAAUACAUGCAGGUCGAACGCAUUUUCUUUCACCGUAGCUUGCUACACCGAAAGAAAAUGAGUGGCGAACGGGUGAGUAACACGUGGGUAACCUGCCCAUCAGCGGGGGAUAACACUUGGAAACAGGUGCUAAUACCGCAUAAUUCCAUUUACCGCAUGGUAGAUGGAUGAAAGGCGCUUUUGCGUCACUGAUGGAUGGACCCGCGGUGCAUUAGCUAGUUGGUGGGGUAACGGCCUACCAAGGCUGCGAUGCAUAGCCGACCUGAGAGGGUGAUCGGCCACACUGGGACUGAGACACGGCCCAGACUCCUACGGGAGGCAGCAGUAGGGAAUCUUCGGCAAUGGACACAAGUCUGACCGAGCAACGCCGCGUGAGUGAAGAAGGUUUUCGGAUCGUAAAACUCUGUUGUUAGAGAAGAACAAGGAUGAGAGUGGAAAGUUCAUCCCUUGACGGUAUCUAACCAGAAAGCCACGGCUAACUACGUG
Molecule: ribosomal RNA, 507 nt
Filed under: uncultured bacterium
Lineage: Bacteria
Description: partial 16S ribosomal RNA
Rfam family: Bacterial small subunit ribosomal RNA
Source: RNAcentral